Molecule: long non-coding RNA, 199 nt
Filed under: Gossypium barbadense (sea-island cotton)
Lineage: Eukaryota; Viridiplantae; Streptophyta; Magnoliopsida; Malvales; Malvaceae
Description: long non-coding RNA (GBAR_LNC001379)
Source: RNAcentral
AUUCAUUGACCAUUAUUAGUUUUAUUUGGUUGUUGACAUUUUGGUUAUUUGUUUGUUAAAGGUCGAUUUCUUCACUAGGUCCAAAUUGUUGAGCUAAACUUAGUUGUUUAUUAUGAACUUGCCUACUUUGUUGAUUCGUUAAUUUAAUUUAUCACUUUAUCGCAGGUUUAUUAUGUCAAACACACGAGGCAAAUCUAAG